UACGUAUGUCGCAAGCGUUAUCCGGAUUUAUUGGGCGUAAAGCGCGUCUAGGCGGAAAAAUAAGUCUGAUGUUAAAAUGCGGGGCUCAACUCCGUAUUGCGUUGGAAACUGUUUUUCUAGAGUACUGGAGAGGUGGGCGGAACUACAAGUGUAGAGGUGAAAUUCGCAGAUAUUUGUAGGAAUGCCGAUGGAGAAGUCAGCUCACUGGACAGAUACUGACGCUGAAGCGCGAAAGCGUGGGGAGCAAACAGGAUUAGAAACCCUGGU
RNAcentral lists this ribosomal RNA (267 nucleotides) under uncultured bacterium. Its description in RNAcentral is "partial 16S ribosomal RNA". It matches the Rfam family "Bacterial small subunit ribosomal RNA", at positions 524 to 791 of the family's 1533-position model. The record is from RNAcentral.